AAAUCCAAGUAUUUCAAUUCCCCGAAGAUAUUACCCAAUCCCAGAACUUCCAAAGGCCCAAAAAAACAAAUCACCAAAGCUGAAGAUGAUAACAAUAAUAAAGAAUCACAGGUAAGGUUUCACCUACCUUUGAGGCUCUGUUGCAGUUCCACAUAAAGAAUUAGUUUGUUAAAACAAUGAAUUUAUCUGAUAAAAUUUUUUUGUAAUCUUCAUUUCUUAAAUUUCAUUAGAAGUAAACAAGUAAUAAUAGCUUGCAUUUCACAAUUUCAUAAUGUGGUUAACAUGGGAUAACAUAACUGACAUAUAUGUAUUACAGUCUGGUAUAGAUUUUGUCUUUAUUAUGGCCGGCUGUUAGCAUAAAGUAUUAUUUAAAUUUUGUAAAAUAUACAUUUUUGUUGUAUUACUUUCAAAUGUUUUGAUUUGUUUUUUUUUUUUAUAUCUGAUUUGCAGUUAACCUUGCUUUGGAAAAAGAGUGGUACAGAAGUUGUAGUAGCAGUUGUUCCGUCACAAAUUAAAGGUCGGAGCAUUGUGAUUCAUCAUUCUGACUUGUGCACUCUUCGACCACAUCAAUGGUUGACAGGGGAGAUCAUUGAAAGCCUUCUGCAUGUGGCUGCCCAUGCAUUGGGAGUCAUGGACACCUUCUACAUCCUGAAUCACUACUCAGCUGGUGUGAUUUUGUUCGAGGACCGAACUGAGCUUCCUAGACAAAGUUUACCAAACGUAAUGGAUAUCUUUGUUGCUAUAUUAUGUCAUUAUAAGAUGAAUGAACAGAACUUUCACAGUUACACAUCAGUUACACAGAGCUACAAAAUUGACAACAAAAUUACUUCGAAGAUGAAAUCAUAUGUAAUGUGUUUAUGGCAAAUAUGUGUGCUUGUUGAUAAAAAGAAGAACAAGAUGUAUUUUUUUAAAAGGUUUGAAUUAAAAGCUGAGUUGUUUUUAAAAGAGUGUUCUGAAAGAAUUGCCAUGUUUUACUGACUACUUGGCUGUUUUAAACAUUGAAACACUUGACAAAAUUAAUGUAAUUGUUCACUUCCGUGCGAGUUCCAAAUAUAAGUGUCACAGAGGGUUAUCCAGGCAAAUAAGGAGCUGAACAUGGCAGUAAGGAUGGACAACUUCUUUAGACAACAUUACAUAAUUAAUUCCACAUGUAAAAAAACUUCUGUACUGGACACUACAUAUAAGAUUUCAGAGUAAUGUAAAUGUCAAUCAUUUAAUAAAGUAGAAGUAAGAAUCUUGAUCUAGUUGCACCCACAUUAAUCUUGGCUAAGUAAUUUCAUUUGAUAUCUUGUAUGUGUCCUAGUAACUAACAUCAACAUCACUGCAAGCUUUACCCCAUCCCACAGCAGCCUGUACAGGGCAAUGUUUAGCACCUUAACUCUUGUAAAACAGUGUAUUGAUUAUUUUAUCAUUUUUAAAACACCUUCUCAUUGAAAAGCAAAAUUGUCAGUAAAAGUAAAUACUGACAUGUGGGAAAAGAUUAAUUGCGAGACAUGUGCUUAAAGUUUGUCUUUAUGUUAACAUUUAAUUUUUGAACAUUUUUAAUGCCAUUUCAGGUAAACUUUGACAACUAUGAAGCAGUUCUGUCAUUUGUCCUUGUGAACAACAAUCACUGGAAGUUGCUGGUUUGUGAUUUUUUGUCUAUAAUCAAUAUUUUUUCAUUUUAUGGUUUGGAUAGAGCAUGACAUAUUCACAUUAGUUUUAAUGAAAUUUUUCUUUGUUAUGCCCCUUUACUUUGUUGAUCUGUUUUAGUACAUCAAUGCAGAAGCCAGAACUGUAUUCCUAAUAGAUCCUGCACAAGUAUCAUCUGAGCUUGUGGACUCCCAAAAGGCAGCUAAAAGAAUACAAGAAUACUUCAAAAUGAGAAGGACAUGCCAUGGAAAAAUAGACUGGGUUGGGAUCCAAUGGAAAGGGGGGACAAUGCGCCACCCUAUUCAACAAGACGGAAGCAGCUGUGGAGUUAUUGUAGUCAAAAUGGCAAAAGCACUGAUGGAAGCCUUCCCUCUGAUGCCAGAUGUAGAUUUUGACACAACAAAAAAGGCAAUGAAAAGUGAAAGAAGAACUCUCGCUCUUCAAAUCCUUGAUGCAUCAGUAUUUGAUGACCACUGUUGGUGUGCGAUGUGCGCUGCAUACAAAGCCCCGGGGUCUGGCCCUGGAAUGACAGACUGGAUCCAGUGUGACAACUGUGACCGAUGGUACCAUGCCCUGUGCAUAAAUAUGAAGAGCACAGAAUUUCAAAAGAAAAAAACAGGCAGUUGGAAAUGUAUAUGGUGUAGUUAAUCUGAAAACUUGAAACUGUGUUCAUUAUUGUUCGAAAUACGUUUUGAAAAUAUCUGUGGAAAAUGAAAAUGUAAUAUGUUUGUGUGGCAUUGAUGCUAUGUGUGAUGUAUAAAGUGUACUGGAAUCAUU
This is an RNA transcript of Xiphophorus hellerii (green swordtail), 2409 nucleotides long. RefSeq lists it as uncharacterized. The transcript has 6 exons. NCBI's taxonomy places the organism in Eukaryota, Metazoa, Chordata, Actinopteri, Cyprinodontiformes, Poeciliidae. The record is from RefSeq and is a predicted model, not a curated record.